Arabidopsis lyrata subsp. lyrata is the source of this 921-nucleotide long non-coding RNA. RefSeq lists it as uncharacterized. The record is from RefSeq and is a predicted model, not a curated record. NCBI's taxonomy places the organism in Eukaryota, Viridiplantae, Streptophyta, Magnoliopsida, Brassicales, Brassicaceae. The transcript is spliced from 4 exons.
UAUAGUAACAAACUUAUUUAUUCAAAUAGUUUGCAUCAGUUUAUAGGUUUGAAUCUACUUAGCAAAUCAAAACUUGUGUCUUACGAAAAAUGUUAAUUAGAUUAAAAGCCCAAUUAACAUUCUGCCCAGCCCACUCUUUAGUUGCUACCCAAGCCCAACUCCAUAACUUGUUUUUGAUGAAAAUGUAUCUGUAAAAAUAUAAUCAGACGACACUGUAGAUCAUCUUCGAUACCGUUCUCAUCAGCUUCUUUCGUUUCCAAUUUCGAUAGAACAGCUGAAAUUGAAAAUCAGAUUGUCGUUCAAUUCGAAGAGUAUUUGACCAUAAUCGGUUCUACAUGUGAAUAGCUGAUUCAUACCUCAUAAGCUCAUUUUGAUAGGAUGAAGCAUAGUAGAUGGAUAAAUUCAAGCUUGGGCAAGUCACUCUACAUCGAAUAACAGUCACAAAAAGAAGAGAAGCUUGUGAAUCAGUCAAGACUACUUCAAGGGUUUCACCAGUGUUGUUGGUAUAUUGGCGCUAAGAAUGGGGAACCUUCACCUGCACACGCCAAGAGGUUUUGUAAGGUCUUACAUCUCUCAACAGAGCAAAUUGUGAGGCCAUUAGUGCUGGUCGCAGUAACUAAGGAAAGAUUUGGUGAAUAAAAAUCGGAGCAAACUAUCAAAUUAGGCAAGAUCCGAAUGUCAAGAUUGCGGGUCAAAUUGAGAAUAUUUCCGGGUCAUAAUUUUGACCCGAUUGGGGACCCCAAAAACUGUUGCAUAAAUAAUACAGUAUAGGUAAGAGUUUAUUUAGACAACAAAUAAGGAUGGCCAACUACACCCAACCAAUGUCCCAUUACAUUAUAGAACAAAUUCUGAUCCGCGCCCUCGUGGUCUCUAUCAAUCAUGACCAUAGAUUUGGAUAAUUAUAUCAUUAACAUAUCGAAA